UCCUUUCAGGGACCCUGCUCCGUUAGUUG
RNAcentral lists this non-coding RNA (29 nucleotides) under Mus musculus (house mouse). The record is from RNAcentral. Lineage: Eukaryota; Metazoa; Chordata; Mammalia; Rodentia; Muridae.